UGUUUCAAACACAUAUCAGCCGCUACCUAAUAUUUGUCUCUCUCUUUAAGAUCCAACAAAGCAACAAAGCAACAAAGCACCAAACCUACUUUCUUUUCUCUGUGAAUCGAAAACUCAGCAAGUAACAACACAACUAUUGCCUUAAUCCUUCUCUUCUACUCUUUUCUAGAUAUUUUACGGUAAUGAAGGAGGUGGUGGUUCGUGGUGUUGAGUUGCGGCGGUCGGGGGUGAUGACCGGAUUCUAAAGUGAUGGUGGUUGUCGGUGUUCCGGUGGACGAACGACGGGGGGAGGUGUAGGGUUGUUGAGACAAGUGGGUUUUGGUUCGGUGGUAGAUUGUGGUUGAAGAUGACGGUAGUGUGAGCGGCCGACGGUGGUCGGAGUACAACAGAUUAGGUGGUUCGAGUGGAGGUGUAGGGGUGGAUUGGUGAUGGUGAGGUUGUACGGUUGUGAAGAUAAAGGUGUACGAGUGGUUGCAGGUGAGUUGUUGCAGGUGAAUGAUGGUUGGAGACGACAGUGAUAACUUGAAGCCACGAAUCAAAAACUUCUUUUCGGAUGUUUGUACAGGAGAGUAAUGUGAUAUUAAUGUGAGAUGUGGGGAUUUGAAUUUGAGGAAGGUGGUAAGUGUUGGGGUUGAUUGAGGUUGGGUGAUGAUACGGUGUGAGAUUUGAUUUGAGCUGUGAGUUUUCUCCGUACAGGCGGCGGCGCCGGAAAAGUUAUCCGGAACCCUAAUCUAAUGGCCGGAAGUUUGCCGGAGACAGAGGGUUUCAAAACAGUGUGAAUAUAUAUGUAUUUGAUUUGAUAUUAUCUUUCUCUACCCCUUUC
Molecule: long non-coding RNA, 823 nt
Filed under: Helianthus annuus (common sunflower)
Lineage: Eukaryota; Viridiplantae; Streptophyta; Magnoliopsida; Asterales; Asteraceae
Description: hypothetical non coding rna
Source: RNAcentral